This 255-nucleotide ribosomal RNA is filed under the name Cronobacter sakazakii. RNAcentral's name for it is "partial 23S ribosomal RNA". It matches the Rfam family "Bacterial large subunit ribosomal RNA", at positions 1417 to 1674 of the family's 2925-position model. Lineage: Bacteria; Pseudomonadati; Pseudomonadota; Gammaproteobacteria; Enterobacterales; Enterobacteriaceae. The record is from RNAcentral.
GAUGGGAAACAGGUUAAUAUUCCUGUACUUGGUGUUACUGCGAAGGGGGGACGGAGAAGGCUAUGUCGGCCGGGCGACGGUUGUCCCGGUUUAAGCGUGUAGGCUGACUUUCCAGGCAAAUCCGGAAGGUUAAGGCUGAGGCGUGAUGACGAGGCACCACGGUGCUGAAGUGACAAAUGCCCUGCUUCCAGGAAAAGCCUCUAAGCAUCAGGUAACAUCAAAUCGUACCCCAAACCGACACAGGUGGUCAGGUAG